RNAcentral lists this ribosomal RNA (229 nucleotides) under uncultured bacterium. Its description in RNAcentral is "partial 16S ribosomal RNA". It matches the Rfam family "Bacterial small subunit ribosomal RNA", at positions 568 to 796 of the family's 1533-position model. The record is from RNAcentral.
UGCGUAGGCGGAAUAUUAAGUCAGUGGUGAAAUCCUGCGGCUCAACCGUAGAACUGCCAUUGAUACUGAUAUUCUUGAAUGUAGUUGAGGUAGGCGGAAUGUGUAAUGUAGCGGUGAAAUGCUUAGAUAUUACACAGAACACCGAUUGCGAAGGCAGCUUACUAAACUAUGAUUGACGCUGAUGCACGAAAGCGGGGGGAGCGAACAGGAUUAGAUACCCUGGUAGUCC